This 1381-nucleotide ribosomal RNA is filed under the name metagenome. RNAcentral's name for it is "bacterial SSU rRNA". It matches the Rfam family "Bacterial small subunit ribosomal RNA". The record is from RNAcentral.
GUUUGAUCCUGGCUCAGGAUGAACGCUGGGUGCGUGCUUAACACAUGCAAGUCGAACGAACCUUCGGGUUAGUGGCGGACGGGUGAGUAACGCGCGGGAACCUGCCCUCAGGAGGGGGAUAACGGUUGGAAACGGCCGCUAAUACCCCAUAUGCCGAGAGGUGAAAUGAAUUUCGCCUGAGGAUGGGCCCGCGUCUGAUUAGCAAGUUGGUGGGGUAAGAGCCUACCAAGGCGACGAUCAGUAGCUGGUCUGAGAGGAUGAUCAGCCACACUGGGACUGAGACACGGCCCAGACUCCUACGGGAGGCAGCAGUGGGGAAUUUUCCGCAAUGGGCGAAAGCCUGACGGAGCAACGCCGCGUGAGGGAUGAAGGCCUCUGGGCUGUAAACCUCUUUUCUCAAGGAAGAAGACCUGACGGUACUUGAGGAAUAAGCCACGGCUAAUUCCGUGCCAGCAGCCGCGGUAAUACGGGAGUGGCAAGCGUUAUCCGGAAUUAUUGGGCGUAAAGCGUCCGCAGGUGGCCCUGUAAGUCUGUCGUUAAAGCGUGGAGCUUAACUCCAUUUAAGCGAUGGAAACUACAGGGCUAGAGUGUGGUAGGGGCAGAGGGAAUUCCCGGUGUAGCGGUGAAAUGCGUAGAUAUCGGGAAGAACACCAGUGGCGAAGGCGCUCUGCUGGGCCAUCACUGACACUCAUGGACGAAAGCCAGGGGAGCGAAAGGGAUUAGAUACCCCUGUAGUCCUGGCCGUAAACGAUGAACACUAGGUGUCGGGGGAAUCGACCCCCUCGGUGUCGUAGCCAACGCGUUAAGUGUUCCGCCUGGGGAGUACGCACGCAAGUGUGAAACUCAAAGGAAUUGACGGGGGCCCGCACAAGCGGUGGAGUAUGUGGUUUAAUUCGAUGCAACGCGAAGAACCUUACCAGGGUUUGACAUCCUGCGAAUCCCUUGGAAACGAGGGAGUGCCUUCGGGAGCGCAGAGACAGGUGGUGCAUGGCUGUCGUCAGCUCGUGUCGUGAGAUGUUGGGUUAAGUCCCGCAACGAGCGCAACCCACGUCGUUAGUUGCCAGCAUUCAGUUGGGCACUCUAGCGAGAUCGCCGGUGAUAAACCGGAGGAAGGUGUGGAUGACGUCAAGUCAUCAUGCCCCUUACAUCCUGGGCUACACACGUACUACAAUGCUACGGACAAAGGGCAGCGAUCCCGCGAGGGCUAGCAAAUCCCAUAAACCGUGGCUCAGUUCAGAUCGUAGGCUGCAACUCGCCUACGUGAAGGAGGAAUCGCUAGUAAUCGCAGGUCAGCAUACUGCGGUGAAUACGUUCCCGGGCCUUGUACACACCGCCCGUCACACCAUGGAAGUUGGCCACGCCCGAAGUCGUUACUCCAACC